GCCAGCUGCCCGCCGUGCGGGGACCGCGGUGGGCGGCAGCCUGGGGCCGGAGGGGCUAGAGGACGAGCAAGAGCGGCCCUGGCGGAGGCUGGCGUUUGUAGAAAGAAUGUCAGCAGCUUUUUAUUAGUGAAGAGCUACUUGUUAUCACCAAUGUGCACGUGAAAUGGAAAGGGAACAGAUUCUGGAAAACAACUUCUGUUUCAACCUUGCAAGAUGCUGCAUGCAUUGUGUCAUAAGACCUAUCGAACAAAUUUAAGAGAUGAGAACAGAGGACCAAAUCAACAUAUCUAAACCUGUUAGAUAAGCACAAAGAAGUUUAAGUGACUGCUCUACUUGAUCAAAAUGGUGGACACUGAAAACCAGCUCUAUCCCCUUACUCCCUUGGAGGAGGAUGAUAUAGGCAGCCCUUUAUCUGGAGAGUUCCUACAAGAUAUGGAGAACAUUCAAGACCUCUCUCAGUCUCUAGGUGAUGAUAGCUCUGGAGCUCUAAGUUUAACAGAGUUCCAGUCACUGGGAAAUGGUCCAGGAUCUGAUGGAUCAGUUAUAACAGACACCCUUUCACCAGCAUCCAGUCCUUCAUCCAUUAAUUUUGCCACAGCUCCAGGUAGCAUAGAUGAAUCACCCAGUGGAGCAUUAAACAUUGAAUGUAGAAUUUGUGGGGAUAAAGCCUCAGGCUACCAUUACGGAGUACAUGCUUGUGAAGGUUGUAAGGGUUUUUUUAGAAGAACAAUUCGUUUAAAACUCAUCUAUGAUAAAUGUGAUCGCAACUGCAAAAUUCAGAAAAAAAAUCGUAAUAAGUGCCAAUACUGUCGUUUUCAAAAGUGCCUUUCAGUUGGAAUGUCACAUAAUGCAAUACGUUUUGGACGAAUGCCAAGGUCUGAGAAGGCCAAGUUGAAAGCAGAGAUUCUAACAGGUGAAAAUUAUGUAGAAGAUUCAGAAAUGGCAGAUCUUAAAUCACUUGCCAAAAGAAUUCAUGAUGCUUACCUGAAAAACUUCAAUAUGAACAAGGUUAAAGCCAGAAUCAUCCUUGCAGGGAAAACUAAUAACAAUCCACCAUUUGUUAUACAUGAUAUGGAUACCUUGUGUAUGGCAGAGAAGACCCUGGUGGCAAAAUUGGUAGCCAAUGGAAUUCAGAACAAGGAAGCAGAAGUUCGAAUCUUCCACUGCUGUCAGUGUACGUCUGUAGAGACUGUCACAGAACUUACUGAAUUUGCCAAAUCUAUCCCUGGCUUCUCCAAUCUUGACUUGAAUGAUCAAGUGACACUGUUAAAAUACGGAGUUUAUGAAGCCAUAUUUGCCAUGUUAGCAUCUGUGAUGAACAAGGACGGGAUGCUGGUAGCCUAUGGAAAUGGUUUUAUAACCCGGGAGUUCCUGAAAAGCCUGAGAAAGCCAUUCUGUGAUAUAAUGGAGCCAAAAUUUGAUUUUGCAAUGAAAUUCAAUGCACUGGAAUUGGAUGAUAGCGAUAUAUCCCUUUUUGUUGCUGCCAUCAUUUGCUGUGGAGAUCGUCCCGGUCUUGUAAAUGUAGGACACAUUGAAAAAAUGCAGGAGAGCAUUGUGCAUGUACUGAAACUUCACUUGCAAACUAACCAUCCUGAUGACAUCUUCCUCUUCCCGAAACUUCUCCAAAAAAUGGCUGACCUCCGACAACUUGUCACAGAGCAUGCUCAACUUGUUCAGAUAAUUAAGAAGACUGAAUCUGAUGCACAUUUACACCCUUUACUACAGGAAAUCUACAGGGAUAUGUAUUAAGGAUUUUUAGUAUUUUUUUCCACCAUAUUUAAAGACGAGCAAUACUAAUAACAGAUGGGAGCAAAACUACUUGCACAGUUAUCUGCUGUUCACUCAGUCCAGAGCAUGAAAAAUCUAAAAGCUGGGUAACUGGAGUGUUACACUGCUUUUGGUUUGGGAUCUUUUGUCUUCUUUUGAAACAGUUCUGCAGAAAAAUACUGAUCAUAGUGCUCAUGAAGUGUCUUACAAUGGUUCUUUUAUUUGGAGAAUUGAAGAUUGGUAAGGAAUACAUAUUUGUACAAUAAAUCAGAAUGCUAAGUAACAGAAACGAACAAAAUCGUAUUUCCUCUUGGCUUAGUCAUUUUAGAAUUAAUAUAACAAAUUCAGCAAAUUCUCUCCAGGUGUAUGCACAAUCAUAAAGAUUAUCCACUUUUGGCUAAUGGUAAUUACUGAGAACCAACUAACACUUUUUCUUACAGCAGUCAGUCUAGGCGUAUCAAAUGGUUGGACAUUACUGUACAUACACUUCUAAAAAAUUUGAAAGACCUUUUAUCCGCUGCUGCUUUAAUUCCAUGAAAUGCAGUACAGCUUCAUAUAGUAUUACAUUACUAUACCUUAGGAUUAGCAUGUUUAAAAGAUGGUUCUCUUAUGAAAUGAAAUAAAAUCUGAAGAGUUAUCUAAAAUACAGCAGAGAUGCUCCAUUCAGGUGUUUCUUGAAGAGUAAAUGUGAUAAAGCGAUGGAACCCUUUUUUCAAAAGUGUUUUAAGGAAAUAUGAAAAUGUCUGUGAGGAAAAAUAUAUCCUACCAUGUGUAUUUUGGAGAACUUGUAAUAGCUCAAGAUGCAGUUUUGAACUUAAAAAUACUAUUUUGAAUUAGAAAGACAUUUGGAGAGACUGAAAAAUCUGAUCCUAGCCCAGAAAAAAGAAUUCCAACUGCACAGCAUUCUAGUGCAGUGACAGCUUACUCUGAAGAAAUGAUUGUAUAGGAAAGGCACCUUCUUUCUUGGCAAGUAUCUUGGCAGUAUAGAGUUGUUUGGACCUGUUUACUUUUCUGAUGAGUACGCUGUUUCAUUUUUUCCCAGUUAUCCACUCAGAUAGAUUUCUUUCUAUUCCUUCUUAGGCCUUGUCAAUAGAAGUAUUAGAUAGAUUAUGUCACCAAAUUUUGUCCUUGUCCUUACAGCCAUAGUGGAUAAGGUGACAGUAUUACCAAGAACGGCGUUGGUAGGUGUCAAUUGUGUAAUUGACAGCACAGUUGACAGUAAGUUUAUCAUGUUCCUGAGAGCUAACUAUGAUUUUACAAUGGUACUUACUCCUGAUGCAAAAUAAGCUAUAAGGAAACUGCUUGACUUUGCCAUUUUACAGGAUCGUUUAUCAGAGAGUACUACACAAAAGUGCGAGCUGCAUGCAAGACACUGUGCUAUUUCUUUUCCUUUUUUUUAAUACGGUAACUUCACAUUAUUAUUUCUUUAUUUUACUAUUUGUUUCAUAACAAGAAAGAUCUCGGCAGCCAAUCUUAGCAUUUUCACAAUAGAUAAGCUUUCAGUGGCACAGGAGGACACUUUGUACUUGUUUUAUUGUAGCACAUUUGAAGACUUCAGAAUCUUAAACCUUCACUGCAAGAAUUAAGUAAGAUCGAUGAGGUGAGAACAUCACACGAUGAUUCUUAUUUUAGUCACAAUGUUUGUUUCUUUACAGGCCUGCUGGCAUGGCUAGACACUGGAUAAAUUACAGGUUUAAAAGCAAUUUGGUAUUUAUCCAGGCGAUGGUCAUUAGCAGAGGUUUUAGUGUCAGAUAUAUUUAGUGUAAAAUAUUGAAGCAUAGGCCUCAAAUUUGGUGACCAGCCGGGGCAGGAUAGAAACAAUAAACGUAUGUGCAUAAAACUCUCUCCCCUUCCCUGUCGCCAGUCAGCAACAGGAAGACUAGGCCUUACGUUACAGCUACUUCUAAUGCUUCAUUAAGAGAAGAUUGUUGGUCUUACCAGGAAACAGGAGAUGAGAAAUAGGUUGUCUUUUGUGUCUUACAGCAGUACGUAGUAUGCCCUCAGAAAUAACGAGGAUUUUAGCAAUGAUGCUGCUUUAGUCUUCAAGUCAGCCAUGUUUUGCUAAGGAGCUGUGGGGUUUAGGCAUAAGACACUGAGCAUUGAAAUAAUUGAUACGCAAUACUGCUUACUCAAAAAAAUUGUCAAAAUAUCAGGCAUUCUGUGAUAGCAUACUGAAACUCUAAUAGCCAACUGUUUUAAGUUUAUCUUCUAAAAAAAGUAUAAGCCAAAAUUUUUUUCCCCCAAACCUCAUAUUUAUGCAAAGGGCAAAUUUCAAAGUUGUGUUCCAUAGUUUGGGUGUGCUGAAGUUUCUCAGAAAAAUCAGACACAGUCAGUGUGGACAAAAACUCUUUUUCCUGCUCUUGUUCUCAAAGUGGCUACAACACUUUACUGAAACUUUUAAAAAACAUGGAAAAUUUAAUAACAAAGACUUAAAUUCUCAGCAAAACUAUAAAGAACUGGAAACAGCAUCAUUCAGUGGAAGGCAUAAUGUUUAGCUAUAUUAGCAGCUGCUUGUAACAGGUUCCUAUUAUUGGCAUUAGGAAAGUGCGUAAUUUGCAGUUUUCCUGUUCCAGAUCCAUUUUGUUUUGUUAUUUGAAAACAGCAAGUGUUUUUUGACUAGUUCCUUGGACCCUGAAGUUUGAUUUCUGUUUUAAAUUAAAUUGCAGGCCUUUAAUGAAAAAAAAAAAUGGAAAGAACGCAUCUCUGAAUUACAGAAAUAUGAACAAGAUGUUAACAUAGCCUAAAAUUCUGGAUAGAUUCCACUGCCCGCACUGCUGCACCGUGCACAUACCCACAGUCUCUUCAAAGAACGACACAGGGCAGACAAUUCACUUCCUGAGUGUUAAUGGGCAAAAGAAGUUCUUAAUCGCUACAUUACACUUUUAAUGAAGUACAUUAGCUACUUCAGAAGGUGACUGCAGCAGGCUUUUGACAAUUAGAUUUCAAAAUGACUCAGUUUGGGUUAGUUUUCUUUUUGUGAAGUUUGCAAUCUGAACUAGUUUGAGAUAUAUUACUGAGGAGCCUUCAGCAUCUCCAACCUUGUACAGAUCAUCUAAUAUUUUAAAAUACCCAUUCUAUGGAGGGAAUAAAGUGAUCGGUUUUUAGGAUUAAAGAAGUAUUAAAGAUUUACUGGCUUGUUAGGUAUAGUUUUGAUCUGAUUCUUAUCAGCAUAACUUAUUUUACUAUCAUAGCACCGAAGAACUCUGGUUAGCAACCAGGUACCCACAAAGAGCUUAAGACAAGAGACAACAGAUGGAUAGAGAAAAAUCCUAGGAAACAAUGCCUGGACAACUUAUGCACCAUCUUAGGCAAAGCAGUUGGAGAAGAUUACACUGUAGCUGCCUGUACUGUGUCUGAAGAGGAACAAUUUCAGCUCUGUCUCUCCUUAAAAGCAUCCAUCCCUGUUACUUAGUUGAAAAUCUGCAACUACAUUUAACAAAUGCAUUUGCAGCUGUUGUGAUAUUGCUUAAGCAUAAGGUCUUACAAAUAACGGCCCGUCCCUGAAAACCCUGAUCCUUUAUUAAGUGUUGAAAUGUAAGGUGUAGUGUAGUAGCUGGUGCUUGUUUGUAUCUCAAGUGCUUUCUUGAUAAUCAGUUGCAUAUAUUUUUUUUAAUCUAGGUUUAAUCAGCUUUAUUAUCCUUCUUUUACUAGAGAUUUAAAUUAUAUGUGGGUUUGAUCUAAGUUUAUUGAUAUUGUUAUGUAUUGUGGGAUUUUUUUAAUUUAAUGUAAUACUAUUUCUUCAUGUUUCAAUUUGUAAAAUACAAGAAUAUAAUUGCAAGCUAUAAACUUUCACUAAAUUAUAUUACAGAGGUGCUUUAAGAAAAAUAUGUAAAUUAUUUAAUUUAAAUAUUUGUUUCAUACUUUAUCUUGUGAACCCUUUUGUACAGUGAGGAAAGAUUUACUUUUAUGGGGUAAGGAUGAUGGGCCUGAAGUCAAAGACAAACUGCUAUUUAUUCCUGUUUGGUCUCUUACUGUAUCAUUUGUGAAGAAGUAUCAUAAAUUCUGCAACUUAUCAGUGUUUGGUAUUGAUAACUGUAACAAAAUUUUAUAAUAUAUUUUCACAUAGAACACAGACUUCCUUUUAUUUAAUUUUAAUAAAAGUAAGUCUCGGUGAGGAAGAGCUGUAAUCCCAAAAUUGAGUUAAUAUUUUUAACGGUUUAACUCAAGUUCACCAAUAUGGAAGAUAGGCGAUAGAACUAAGUUCAUCUUUGCUUUACAGCACGGUAGUUCGUUUUCCUUAAAAGUCUGAGAAGAGAGCUAAAAAGAUCUACAGCCUGUUAGUACUCCAUUACUGAUAUUUUCUGAGGAACUCACUUGUGGCUUACUAGAAAUAACAACGUGUAUUCAGGAUUACU
RNA transcript from Pygoscelis adeliae (Adelie penguin), 6122 nucleotides. It is a transcript of the gene named peroxisome proliferator-activated receptor alpha, with no coding region annotated. The transcript is spliced from 10 exons. The record is from RefSeq and is a predicted model, not a curated record. NCBI's taxonomy places the organism in Eukaryota, Metazoa, Chordata, Aves, Sphenisciformes, Spheniscidae.